Molecule: transfer RNA, 82 nt
Filed under: Planctomycetota bacterium
Lineage: Bacteria; Pseudomonadati; Planctomycetota
Description: Planctomycetes bacterium (hot springs metagenome) tRNA-Leu
Rfam family: tRNA
About the family: Transfer RNA (tRNA) molecules are approximately 80 nucleotides in length. Their secondary structure includes four short double-helical elements and three loops (D, anti-codon, and T loops).
Source: RNAcentral
GCGGCCCUGGUGGAACUGGCAGACACGCAAGACUUAGGAUCUUGUCCCGCAAGGGGUGCGGGUUCAAAUCCCGCGGGCCGCA